RNAcentral lists this ribosomal RNA (468 nucleotides) under uncultured bacterium. RNAcentral describes it as "partial 16S ribosomal RNA". It matches the Rfam family "Bacterial small subunit ribosomal RNA", at positions 28 to 507 of the family's 1533-position model. The record is from RNAcentral.
GAUGAACGCUGGCGGCGUGCUUAACACAUGCAAGUCGAACGGAAAGGCCAGUGCUUGCACUGGUACUCGAGUGGCGAACGGGUGAGUAACACGUGGGUGAUCUGCCCUGCACUUCGGGAUAAGCCUGGGAAACUGGGUCUAAUACCGGAUAGGACAAUGGUUUGGAUGCCGUUGUGGAAAGUUUUUUCGGUGUGGGAUGAGCUCGCGGCCUAUCAGCUUGUUGGUGGGGUAAUGGCCUACCAAGGCGUCGACGGGUAGCCGGCCUGAGAGGGUGUACGGCCACAUUGGGACUGAGAGACGGCCCAGACACCUACGGGGGGCAGCAGUGGGGAAUAUUGCACAAUGGGCGCAAGCCUGAUGCAGCGACGCCGCGUGGGGGAUGACGGCCUUCGGGUUGUAAACUCCUUUCGCUAGGGACGAAGCGUAUUUGUGACGGUACCUGGAGAAGAAGCACCGGCUAACUACGUG